UUACUAAAGAAGCUUCUAAUUACGCUAUUGAGCAUAACUCCUAAUCUAGACCUCAAACUGAUGUCAAAUUUUAUGGACAAGUUUAUAAUUCAGUAUAGUGAAGGUUUCUAUCCUCUCACAUUUUCAAAAAUAUCGUUUUAAGGUCAAAAGGGCAUAACGGUCAACAAUUCGGCAUAUAACGGAAACUUGCAAAUGAAUAGGAUAACUAAGGAUUCAGGUUGUAUAACCUCAGAGGGUUACACUAACCUAUAACAUGAUCCUAAAGGAAUCCUAAGGCAUAUCUAAAUAAGUCUAAUUCGGGUCAGAACUGAAAGUCAAAGCAAAAGUCAACUUUCGCGACUUUCGGCUCCGAACCGGGCCUAUACUUAGAAUUGUCGGGUUGA
RNAcentral lists this long non-coding RNA (383 nucleotides) under Helianthus annuus (common sunflower). RNAcentral describes it as "sRNA HanXRQr2_Chr11g0501431". The record is from RNAcentral. Lineage: Eukaryota; Viridiplantae; Streptophyta; Magnoliopsida; Asterales; Asteraceae.